GGCCGGUUAGCUCAGUUGGUUAGAGUGUGGUGCUGAUAACACCAAGGUCAAGGGAUGGAUCUCCUUAUUGGCCA
Non-coding RNA from Galeopterus variegatus (Sunda flying lemur), 74 nucleotides. The record is from the annotation of a RefSeq genome assembly. Lineage: Eukaryota; Metazoa; Chordata; Mammalia; Dermoptera; Cynocephalidae.